GUGGGGAAUCUUGCGCAAUGGGCGAAAGCCUGACGCAGCCAUGCCGCGUGAAUGAUGAAGGUCUUAGGAUUGUAAAAUUCUUUCACCGGGGACGAUGAUGACGGUACCCGGAGAAGAAGCUCCGGCUAACUUCGUGCCAGCAGCCGCGGUAAUACGAAGGGGGCUAGCGUUGCUCGGAAUUACUGGGCGUAAAGGGCGCGUAGGCGGACAGCUUAGUCAGAGGUGAAAGCCCAGGGCUCAACCUUGGAAUUGCCUUUGAUACUGGCUGUCUUGAGUUUGGGAGAGGUGAGUGGAACUCCGAGUGUAGAGGUGAAAUUCGUAGAUAUUCGGAAGAACACCAGUGGCGAAGGCGACUCACUGGCCCAAUACUGACGCUGAGGCGCGAAAGCGUGGGGAGCAAACAGGAUUAGAAACCCCUGUAGUCC
RNAcentral lists this ribosomal RNA (425 nucleotides) under uncultured bacterium. RNAcentral's name for it is "partial 16S ribosomal RNA". It matches the Rfam family "Bacterial small subunit ribosomal RNA", at positions 354 to 796 of the family's 1533-position model. The record is from RNAcentral.